GUGUUUGACAGCCAGGUCUUGGAAAGGAAGGCCAACAUGCCCUGGGCCGAUCAGACUCCAUCAUGUUGACUCCUGGGAGGCACAUUUUUGAGAAACAAUUAGGAACCAGGAAGCAUUCUGAGGAGGAAAGCCAGGAUGAAGAAGACUCAGAUAAAAAAGUCAUCCCACCAGGUCUGGAUGCAGUGUGACUGUAUCAGUCAGCUUUUGCUGGGUUAUGCCAAGUAACAAACAGGAUUCAGGCUGAAAGAUCAGCUAUGAAAUUGCUGGUUUUGAGGCACAGGAAAAAGAGUGAUGGCAGAACUGAGAAAUGACUUUAAAGCCUCUGCUCAGAAGUGGCUUAUAUCCCUCUGUUCACAUUUUAUUGGCCACAGAGAAUCACAUGAUCAAAUAUGUCUUCAGACUUGAUGGGCUUAGGGAGAUACCAUGCUCCCACAGGGAGGGGUGGUAACUAUUUGGCCAGCACAGAGUAGAUACCAACAGUUAUUAAACUGUUUGUUGAAUGAAUGAAUAGAUGAAUUCUCUGAUCCUGGAAGGAUUUAAAUAAAGAACGGAUGACCA
This 558-nucleotide long non-coding RNA is filed under the name Pan troglodytes (chimpanzee). Its description in RNAcentral is "lincRNA". The record is from RNAcentral. Lineage: Eukaryota; Metazoa; Chordata; Mammalia; Primates; Hominidae.